Molecule: long non-coding RNA, 2493 nt
Filed under: Homo sapiens (human)
Lineage: Eukaryota; Metazoa; Chordata; Mammalia; Primates; Hominidae
Description: HSALNT0002014
Source: RNAcentral
GUGAAGCUCGUCUUUGUUCCUUGGGCAAUAAUGGAUGAUACCAUAAAUGGCAUGUCACAGAACAGAAGUGAGGGCGACCUUUAUUAGAUUAAAUAUGUUUCCCCACCCAGUGCUCUGCAGAUCGUGGGAUUUCUAUCAGAAGACAGACAACAGGGACUGAACUGCAUGCAGCCAAGAGCUUCCCAAAAUUGUACUGGCAAAAAAAAAAAAAUCUCAACUUGGAAAACUGGGAGAUGUAUACACAGGGCAACUAGAAACCGAGAGAGAGAUUGUGGAGAGGUGGAAGUGGCAUGCUUAAAAGCGUAAGAAGAGAGGAUGCUGGAGAUGCCUGUGAAGGAGACCUUGGCCCUGCCUUCCUGAGGAAUGUUCUGGAACUCUCAUCCUCAGAGCACCAGAGUGUGCAAGUCAGUCAACAACCAUGCAGGCCCAGUGGUACAAGAGCAAACGGCAUGCCUGCAUGGAGUGUCCAGGCAGAUGGGCCCAAGACAGACCCGUGGCUUUCCACAGCUCAGAGUGGCUUAGGGACAUGGUAAUGCUUCCCAAAGGCUUCAUCCACGUGGACCAGAGAGCCAACAGGUGCCAGGCAAUGUCGGACAGCUUGAGGAGCAUGCAGCGGUGAGCUGCAUGGAUAGAUGGCCAAAGGCCAGAUAGGAAGAAGGCCACCUCCGGGACAGGUGCCAUCUACCAAGGAACAGAUGCUCACCCCCUCCCGCUAGCUGAUACCCCAACCUACCCAACCUGAAAGAAAAAGCAGAGAACUUCAGACCAAGACAAAUUUCUACCAUGACUGGGGAGCCAGGGCCCAAAGAAAAAGUAGGUUCAGGUCUAGAAAUGAAAAGUUAUUUCUUGCAGACAGCCAGAGUUUGAAUAAAAUCAGAAAGUCCCAUGUGAAGGCAGUCACUAGAGCUCACGGCUAAGAGUGUAGGUGAUCUGGAGUCUGGCUGACUCUGGUCUCUGUUCUGCUUCUGGGAAGCCAUCUCUGACCAGUUACUUACCUUCUCUCAGACUCUAUUUGCUCAUCUGUAAAACAGAGAUAAUAUUAAUAUCUCCUAAUAGGUUAUAUGUGUUCAAUAAAACAUUACAUGUAAACCCCCUGAGGGGUUGUUUCAUGCUAAGCAUUCAAUCAAUGCAGAAUAAUGGCAUCAUUAGAAAGGGAGGGAGUUGGGGAGGGGUCUUGGGGCAAGGGCGGGUGAGGGGUCUUUAUGGAGUUCCCUGUGGUAGAGAUUCAGGAGAACACUCUCUGAGAGCCAGCAUAUGGCAGGAACUUCCCAAGCCUGCUGAGGGUGCGGGAGAGUGGGCUUUACCUAUGCACUAAGCACAUGGUCCCCAUGUGAUCCAAGUCAACGGGAGCUAAUAUAACUUUAUGGUCAAGGGUGUGGAUUCUGGCAUCCGACUGCCUGGACUUACAUUACUUACUAGCUGGGCAAGUAUCCUUAGGUAAGUUACAUAACCUCUUUAUUUAUACCUUAGUUUUGUCAUCUGCACAAUGGGAAUAAUCGUUCCUGUUUCACAGAGCUGUUCCGAGACUUAAAUGAAUGAAUAUAUGCAAAGAGCUUUUCUAAGCUUUCCUUCCUGGCAUGCUGACUGACACACACUGUAAAUAUUAGCCAUUAUUAUUCUGAUUUUGCUCCCAUCCAAGUUUACACUUCAGCUGCUAGAAUCCCUCAGGAUCUCAAAUCUGAUUUAUCUUCCAACAAUAAAACCCAUCCAAACUCCAAGGCCAUUUUCCAGCAAGGGAGAGUCACAUCAAAAUAAGAACGCUAAAGCUACCAAUAUUCAAAUGAAGAUAGAGAAUGGGGCCCUCCUCCUCCAUGCAACCCUGGAAUAACUCUCACUUGUGCGUCAGAGGGGAGCAAAAACAUCAGCAAGAGGGCCCAUUACCGAAAGUGAGGGACUUACAGCAUCAGGGAAACCUCACUGACAUAAGACAUGAAUCAAUCCAAGAAGGAACAAAAGGGCAGCUUGUUUGCAGAAGAUAUUCCAUGCUUCUUAUAUAUUUUGGAUAUAAACCUCUGUUAAUGGAAAAACCAAACUCUGUAAAAUAUUUUAAAGAGGUUUAUUCUGAGCCAAUAUGAGUGACCAUGCCAAGGGAACAGAGUCUUAAGAGGUUUUGCGAAAGUGUGUCUACAGCAGUUAUGUUACAAUUUGGUUUUAUACAUUUUAGGUAUGUAUAGGUUUACAUCGGUUUUAUACAUUUAUACAUUUGCAAAUAUUUUCUCCCAUUCAAUAGGUUGUCUCUUCGUUCUGUUGACUGUUUCCUUUGCUGUACAGAGACUUUUUAGGUUAAUCCUAUUUGUCUGUUUUCACUUUUGUUGCCCCUAUUUUUGGGGUCAUAGAUCAAAAAAUCAUUGCUCUGACCAGUGUCAUGGAGCCAUUGCCCUAUGUUUUCUUCCAGUAGUUUUAUAGUUUCAGGUCUUACAUAAAGUCUUUAAUCCACUUUAAAUUAUGUUUUUGUAUAUGGUGUGAGAUAAUGGUCUAAUUUGAUUCUCCCGC